Microcebus murinus (gray mouse lemur) is the source of this 1370-nucleotide non-coding RNA. Lineage: Eukaryota; Metazoa; Chordata; Mammalia; Primates; Cheirogaleidae. The record is from RefSeq and is a predicted model, not a curated record.
CUCUGGAGUCACUGAGAUUACAGAACUCUCAAGAUGCCUUGGGCUGGGAAGAACCCAAAGACAGCUCUUUCUGAACACUUGAAUUUGGACAGACAAGCAACCCAGCCACCUUUCAGUGUGGCUGUGUCAGUAUCGGAAUGAAAUGAACAUGACCCCCUCCAGCAGGGAAGGGAACACACAGUAAAGCCUUCAUCUCAAGAUCAGAUUCAACACAUAGUAGAACCUGCUUUGGGACACCUCCUCUCCUCCUCAAUACUGACAUCAGGAUUUGGUAAAAAGGGCUACUGUACAUUUCCCCCCAAAAUCACUUGGGAUAUUUGUGGUAUAGCAAUUUAUAAAAAUAGGAACCCCCUAUCUUUUAAUCCUUUAUUGAUAGGGAUCCUAAUGAUUUACUGAAAUUAGCCGCAAAUUUAGGAAGAGCCCUAUUCCAUAGGACAGUUUUUCCCAGGAGAGAUCUCAAGGUUUCCUACAUUUAUGGAAAUGAAAAUGAGUUUUCUCUAAUAUAUUACAUACACUUACCUAUUCCUAGUUCCAGGUAGGAGUCCAGAUUACUUACCAGGUAUGGCUGAGUGGGAGGACACAGGUAAAAAGAAAGAUGCACACAGAAGGCUUCAUAAGAAACAUAAUCCUCUGGAGUGACAGAGAAAAUUCUAAAAAAUAGGGUGAUAGAGAAGCAAGAUUGGAAGUAGUCUCCUCAGAGGUAGUGGGAUGGAAUUCUCAAAGCCCAACUUCCUUGGUGUGUAAGCGAUCCCAAACAGAGUUAAGGGGAGGUGAAAUGGAGCUGCCAAACGUCCAAAGAAGAGAUUAUCUACUUAAUUAAAGUUUUUUUUUCCUCUCUAAGUCCUUCAGCCAAUCAGAACUCAAGUGCCAGAAAAAGAUUGAGUCGAUCAAAAGAACACUCCAGGAUCCUCCCAGACAAAUGCAGAAGAAGGGGACCAGGAGAAAGAGGACAAAGAAAGAAGGGGGGUGGGGGAAGAGACAUAGCAAAUCCCUUCUACAUAAUCACUGCGUGGAGUCUCUCUUUCCUCCCUCUUGCCUGUCCCCUCCCACCACACCACAACCUUCCCCCACCCACGCACACUGACACACACACACACACACACACACAGCCGAGUCCCCAAAAGGGAUUUAGAAGGGUCUGUGCUUUCCCAGUUGUCCUUUGUAGCGCUUUGAGACUGAAUUUGCAUUCAGAAUAGCUUUCUUCAGAAAAAAAAAAUAGACCAUGUACGGUGAACCUCAGGCCCUCUGAUUUGAGCAUGUGUGGACACAACUCAACCAUCUUGUGUAUUCUCUCUCUAAGUUAGGAAGAAGAUCAUGAAACUUCAGAAACUUUUGCAUCACACGAUUACUUACCAAACACUAUUACGUUC